RNAcentral lists this non-coding RNA (45 nucleotides) under Schistosoma curassoni. The record is from RNAcentral. Lineage: Eukaryota; Metazoa; Platyhelminthes; Trematoda; Strigeidida; Schistosomatidae.
AUAUAGCUGACGAGUCGUAAAUAGGACGAAACGCUCGUUUUAAGU